RNAcentral lists this transfer RNA (59 nucleotides) under Pseudoniphargus unisexualis. RNAcentral's name for it is "tRNA-Tyr". Lineage: Eukaryota; Metazoa; Arthropoda; Malacostraca; Amphipoda; Allocrangonyctidae. The record is from RNAcentral.
ACUUAAGUGGUGUUAUUACACAGUAAGUUGUAAACUUAAAGAUGCUCAGGCCUAAGUUA